AUUCCGGUUGAUCCCGCCGGAGGCCACUGCUAUUGGGAUUCGACUAAGCCAUGCGAGUCUAUGGUUUCGGCCAUGGCGGACGGCUCAUUAACACGUGGUUAACAUACCCUCAGGUGGGGGAUAACCUUGGGAAACUGAGGAUAAUACCCCAUAGAAAAAGCAGUCUGGAACGAUUCUUUUUCGAAAGCAUAUGCGCCUGAGGAUUGGACUGCGCUCGAUUAGGUAGUUGGUGGGGUAAUGGCCCACCAAGCCUACGAUCGGUACGGGCCUUGAGAGAGGAAGCCCGGAGAUGGGGACUGAGACACGGCCCCAGGCCCUACGGGGCGCAGCAGGCGCGAAACCUCCGCAAUGCACGAAAGUGCGACGGGGGGAUCCCAAGUGCUCAUGCACAGCAUGGGCUUUUAUCAAGUGUAAACAGCUUGAGGAAUAAGGGCUGGGCAAGUUCGGUGCCAGCAGCCGCGGUAACACCGACGGCCCGAGUGGUGGCCACUUUUAUUGGGCCUAAAGCGUCCGUAGCCGGUCCAGUAAGUCCUUGUUUAAAUCCUGCGGCUUAACCGCAGGACUGGCAGGGAUACUGCUGGACUUGGGACCGGGAGAGGACAAGGGUACUUCAGGGGUAGCGGUGAAAUGUGUUGAUCCUUGAAGGACCACCUAUGGCGAAGGCACUUGUCUGGAACGGGUCCGACGGUGAGGGACGAAAGCCAGGGGCGCGAACCGGAUUAGAUACCCGGGUAGUCCUGGCCGUAAACUUUGCGAACUAGGUGUUAGGUGGGCCCCGUGCCCAUCUAGUGCCGAAGGGAAGCCGUUAAGUUCGCCGCCUGGGGAGUACGGUCGCAAGACUGAAACUUAAAGGAAUUGGCGGGGGAGCACCACAACGGGUGGAGCCUGCGGUUUAAUUGGAUUCAACGCCGGGCAUCUCACCAGGAGCGACAGCAUGAUGACGGUCAGGUUGACGACCUUGCCUGAAGCGCUGAGAGGUGGUGCAUGGCCAUCGUCAGCUCGUACCGCGAGGCGUCCUGUUAAGUCAGGUAACGAGCGAGACCCGUGCCCUAUGUUGCUACUUUUUCCUCCGGGAGAAAGGCACUCAUAGGGGACCGCUGGCGCUAAGUCAGAGGAAGGAGCGGGCAACGAUAGGUCCGCAUGCCCCGAAUCUCCUGGGCUACACGCGGGCUACAAUGGCUAGGACAAUGGGCCGCAACCCUGAAAAGGGACGCAAAUCUCCUAAACCUAGUCGUAGUUCGGAUCGUGGGCUGUAACUCGCCCACGUGAAGCUGGAAUCCGUAGUAAUCGCAGUUCAUAAUACUGCGGUGAAUGUGUCCCUGCUCCUUGCACACACCGCCCGUCACACCACCCGAGUUGGGUUGAAGUGAGGCCUUGGCCUUUGGCUAGGGUCGAACUUGGGCUCAGCGAGGGGGGUGAAGUCGUAACAAGGUAGCCGUAGGGGAACCUGCGGCUGGAUCACCUCCU
Molecule: ribosomal RNA, 1467 nt
Filed under: Methanococcus maripaludis
Lineage: Archaea; Methanobacteriati; Methanobacteriota; Methanococci; Methanococcales; Methanococcaceae
Also listed under: 1 other name
Description: Archaeal small subunit ribosomal RNA
Rfam family: Archaeal small subunit ribosomal RNA
Source: Rfam by way of RNAcentral